UGGUAUAAACCUAAUUCGGCCUGACCUUGUCUUUCUAAAAGGGCCUGACCGAGGCCGUUGAGCAUGCAUUGUAUAUCUGCUUUAGAGAUUCCCUAUGGCAAGAGCAAAGGCCCUUGAGAUAAAGGUGCAACCUCCCUCCCCCUCCCAACUUUGGCAUCUCCUUAAGGAUUAAGCAACUUUCCUUAGGCUAGAAACUGAUUGCUGCACUCACCUGUGACCACCCAGCUCGAGACAUAGACUUGCCUCCUGCUACACCCACGAAGAUAGCAGACCCACUACCUGCUGUGUCCAUCAAGUGCUGUGCUGACAGGGCAAUCUUGUGACUAUUGUGCGAGGGACAUUUCAAUCAUAUAUUGGUUAUGGAUUAUUUUCGUCGACAGUUCUUGGCGUAGUUGCUGCAGGAUUUCAGAGAAACCCACCGGAGGCCACCUGGAAUCUACACUGAACUGGCAUUCGGUACCAAUAAGGGCCCAUUGAGCCCCCCGGAUCACUGCAUUCUUCAGGUGACCCUGCAACUGACCUCACCUCUAUUAUCGAAGAACAAGAGAGCAUCAAUUGGGAGUUCUCUCAACUUCUUGCUGCUAGACCUACAAAUUUGAAAACAUCUUCAAUUGUCCUCUCCUUUGUCCUCCAGUUACAGUGGAGAAAAUGUUCUUAUUCCUUUCCGUGGGCAAUGAAUCCAACUGUGCAUAUUUUCAGGAAUCUCAUUAUAAUAAUUAUUCUUUCAGCUUCUUUCUCUUUAGUUAGUUGACUCAUAUUGACUGAUGCUUACCUUUUUUUUUUUCAGAUGUAGAGAAUAUUGUUUCUACAGCUUUCAGCUGCAUAGUUGAGUUACUCAUACUCAUCAGUUCAUGACUGGCAAUCAACAAUUUCACAAUUUCUUCCUUUAACCCCAAGCCAGUUCCCCUCCAACCAGAGGGACCUGAGCCAAUCUGUUUAAUCACACACACAUUCUCAUCCUUGUAUACUUGUAAAAUAUAUCAUACAGUUGUGUUGGAAUUUUAUGCCUCAGAUCAGAACCAAAAAAGAUAUUAUCCGAUGGAUAUGAAAAUACUAGUUUUAUAACCAGCAAAAAAGAAUUGGGUGGAAAUUGUGUCAUUCACGUGAGGCCAAAUGGACAGUCUUCUCCACAUACCACCUUUUGUUUCCUUUCUUUUUCUUUCCUUAUUGCACAGGCUGAUACUGCCAAUAAAAUCUUGAGUCAAAAUUAUAAGAUUAGAUAUCCACGCCCUGUUCUCAAUCUUAGAGAGAGAACAUUUCUUUGACCAUUAUCCAGGAUACUAGCUGUAGGUUUCCUUUUAUGUGUCUUUUGUUUGUUUGUUUGUUUGUUUUUGGUUGAGGAUUUUUCAUUUUACUCCUAGUUUAUUGAAAGCAUUUACCAGGAAUUUUGUGGAUUUUUUCCAAAGCUUUUUCUGAACCUAUUAAGAUGAUUGUAUGUUUCUUUAUUCUUUAAUCUGUUAAUAUGGUGAAUCUUAUGGGUUAAUUUUCAUGUGUUAAAUCUAUUUUGCAUUUGAGAGAUAAACCAUAUUUGGACGUGAUGUAUUAAACUUUUUAUGGAUUACUGGAUUCAAUGUGUAAAAUUUUGUCAAGAAU
Molecule: long non-coding RNA, 1593 nt
Filed under: Equus caballus (horse)
Lineage: Eukaryota; Metazoa; Chordata; Mammalia; Perissodactyla; Equidae
Description: lncRNA (ENSECAG00000053394.1)
Source: RNAcentral